This is a small RNA of Xanthomonas albilineans GPE PC73, 77 nucleotides long. It matches the Rfam family "Xanthomonas sRNA sX9". The record is from Rfam. NCBI's taxonomy places the organism in Bacteria, Pseudomonadati, Pseudomonadota, Gammaproteobacteria, Lysobacterales, Lysobacteraceae.
AUGCGCCCCCCUGUACACUUCGGUUCCUGCGCGCUGUCCGCCUCCACCCGACAGCGACUGGCGAGGUUUCGUUAGCC